Molecule: ribosomal RNA, 500 nt
Filed under: uncultured bacterium
Lineage: Bacteria
Description: partial 16S ribosomal RNA
Rfam family: Bacterial small subunit ribosomal RNA
Source: RNAcentral
AUUGAACGCUGGCGGCAUGCCUUACACAUGCAAGUCGAACGGCAGCACGGGAGCAAUCCUGGUGGCGAGUGGCGAACGGGUGAGUAAUAUAUCGGAACGUGCCCCGUCGUGGGGGAGUACGCAGCGAAAUCUGUUCUAAUACCGCAUACGAUCUAAGAAUGAAAGCGGGGGACCGCAAGACCCGGCGCGAUUGGAGCGGCCGAUAUCAGAUUAGGUAGUUGGUGGGGUAAAGGCUCACCGAGCCGACGACCUGUAGCUGGUCUGAGAGGACGACCAGCCACACUGGGACUGAGACACGGCCCAGCCUCCUACGGGAGGCAGCAGUGGGGAAUUUUGGACAAUGGGCGAAAGCCUGAUCCAGCCAUGCCGCGUGCAGGAUGAAGGCCUUCGGGUUGUAAACUGCUUUUGUACGGAACGAAAAGGUUUGGCCUAAUAAGCUGAGCUCAUGACGGUACCGUAAGAAUAAGCACCGGCUAACUACGUGCCAGCCGCCGCGGUAA